GGGGGACAGAUAUGAAGGCGAGGGACUGCAGAGGGGCAGUCCGUUCUUCAGGUCAUAAUCAGUGAAUCAGCUGCUUCCUGGACUCGCGCCGCGGGCUCUGUGAGAAGCCGCCUGCCCUCCCAGCUGCCUGCCCUCGCGGCCGCCCGCCUCCCUGGUUGCAGGUUCGCUCUGCAGCAGGAUGAUUGCCCCCAGGUCCCCCCAGCUGCUGUCCUCCGCAAGGUGAGGUUCUGCCCACAGAACCAUUCGCCGUUGCUAUUUCUGAAAUUCUACUCUCUGGGGACAUCGGCCUGACCCCAGGAAGCCCAGGAACAGCCACAUGACCGAGCACAGAGCCUCUGCCACCCUGACCUGGGCCAGGUCCAUCCUGUUGGAGGAAGGGGAGGGCCACUCCCCUUCCCUUGGGAACUGCAAGGUGCAGAGGAGAUUCCCAGGACAAACCCCGCUGAGACUUGAGAGACUGGGCACCCGGUACCACUGUGCUGGGCACGUCGUCCUGUUUCUUCCCUGUGUCUGUUUAAGGGACAGGCUCAGUCACACAGGGCCAGACGGUCUCAUAGGACAACUCUAGGAUUCUCAUGGAAUGGAGACUGCAGGCCCGAGGCCUCUGGUGGCCUCCAAGUGAGUCCAGAAGGGGGUGUUCACACAGCCUCUAAAAGAGGCCACGGGUGGACGCCUGCCCUUGGCUGGUCUGAUAUGCAAACGCAGGCGGCCUGGCCCGGAAGCACAACUGGCCCUCACGGCAGGCUGCUCUUGCCCUUCCGCUGAUCUUUGCUCCUCGCCCAAGGGUGGACCACAGGCCGCAGGACCCCAUCAAAUACGGCGUCUCAGUGCUCCAAGGGGAGCACUUGGAGUGGGCCGAGAACUUCUGCACUGGGACAAAGUGGGCCAAGG
This 891-nucleotide long non-coding RNA is filed under the name Marmota monax (woodchuck). Lineage: Eukaryota; Metazoa; Chordata; Mammalia; Rodentia; Sciuridae. The record is from RNAcentral.